CUUUUACUUUUAUACUCUUUACUACAAUUCAAAAUUUUUAAAUUUGUAUUAAUUAUUUUUUAAAAUAGCCUUUUAAAUUUUUAAUUCUCACUACAACAGAAUUGGAUUAUAGAGACACAUCUUUGGGACAUUUUUAUAUAAGUGUUCCAUUUAUGUCAAUUUUUUUUAAAAAAAAUCUAAUAAUGUCUAAAUAUAAAACCUAAUCCAAUUAAAAACAAAAAGUUUCUCUACUCAACCAACCACACCCAGCUCACUUGGCUCGAUUACAAAUAAAAAAGAAAAAAAAAAAAUUGAUCACCAUAUUUCCUUCUCCUGCUCUGCCACCGUAGCCUACGAGGUAGAGUUCCGGUGGCUGGAGUUCGGCCGCGAGGAUUUCGCAGGGACAGUAGAGAGUUACGAUUGUCACGUAUCCCUUCGCCACAAGUCGCUAGAAGAGUGGGUGCCAAAUAUUAAGACUGCACUACCUAUAGCGACGCCACAUGUAACAACACUUUUAAAAAGUGUCGGUAAUCUAGCUAGCAACACUUUUUUUUUAUCUAUACCGACAUUUAAAAGUAUCGCUAUAUACCGUUUUUGUUGUAGUGUCUAUUAGUGAAACCUAUAGAGGGCCAGGAGAUAUUUGAAGGAAUUUUUCAAAUGAACAAAAGUAUUUUGGUCAAAUAAAAUAAAUUAGAUA
This 676-nucleotide long non-coding RNA is filed under the name Ananas comosus (pineapple). Its description in RNAcentral is "long non-coding RNA (ACOM_LNC033602)". Lineage: Eukaryota; Viridiplantae; Streptophyta; Magnoliopsida; Poales; Bromeliaceae. The record is from RNAcentral.